AAUGAGAUGCCUGAAAAAAGGACUAUUUUGAUGUAAUAGAUUAAGUGUAAAUCACUCUCAUUA
This 63-nucleotide transfer RNA is filed under the name Hemisphaerius rufovarius. RNAcentral describes it as "tRNA-Ile". Lineage: Eukaryota; Metazoa; Arthropoda; Insecta; Hemiptera; Issidae. The record is from RNAcentral.